Molecule: ribosomal RNA, 332 nt
Filed under: uncultured eukaryote
Lineage: Eukaryota
Description: partial 18S ribosomal RNA
Rfam family: Eukaryotic small subunit ribosomal RNA
Source: RNAcentral
CCCUUAGAUGUUCUGGGCUGCACAUGUGCUACACUGGCAGGUUCAGCGAGCUUCAUGCCCUGAUCUGAAAGGAAUGGGAAAUCUUUUCAAAACCUGCCGUGCUUGGGAUAGAUGUUUGCAAUUAUUCAUCUUCAGCGAGGAUUGCCUUGUAAGCGCACGUCAUCAGCGUGCAUUGAAUACGACCCUGUAUUCUGUACACACCGCCCGUCGCUCCUACCGAUUGAAGUUUUCGGUGAGUUGACAGGAGGAUUUUUUUGAAACUGGUUCGCCAGUGGAUUUUAGAUCCAAAUGCCAACGAAUCGAUGGCUUUAGAGGAAGGAGAAGUCGUAACA